Molecule: long non-coding RNA, 377 nt
Filed under: Actinidia chinensis (golden kiwifruit)
Lineage: Eukaryota; Viridiplantae; Streptophyta; Magnoliopsida; Ericales; Actinidiaceae
Description: long non-coding RNA (ACHI_LNC006394)
Source: RNAcentral
AUGGGGGAAAAAUUGGUCCAACCGUUGGAGAUGGUCUUAGCUCCUUCCCCAAUCCCAGUCCACCAUCAGUCUCCCUCAAACCCUCUCCCCGCCGUCUCCCAAAACUCACACCCUCUGACCGUGUCUUCGAUCCGCUCCAAGCUCAGCGUCGAUUUCAUCCUUCCGUUCGCGUCUGAGCUCUCCUCCAAAGAGGUUAGUCGAAAAGCCCUUUGGUUUUUCUGGUUUGUGUGGAUUUUAUUGUAUUGUUGAUAAUAAUCCAAUGUGGGUGGAUCUUGUUUCAUCUGGGUUUUGUUCAUUAUCUGUUCUGUUAAUUAUUAUUAAUUAUUGGAAUUUCAAUUUGCUCAUGCCAGAAUGAUGAUCAAAUGGCUGAUCAAGAU